UACGUAGGGUGCAAGCGUUGUCCGGAAUUAUUGGGCGUAAAGAGCUCGUAGGCGGUUUGUUGCGUCGGCUGUGAAAUCCCGAGGCUCAACCUCGGGUCUGCAGUCGAUACGAGCAAACUAGAGUGUUGCAGGGGAGACUGGAAUUCCGGGUGGAGUGGUGAAAUGCGUAGAGAUCCGGAAGAACACCAGUGGCGAAGGCGGCCCGCUGGGCAGUGGCUGACGCUGAGGCGCGACAGCGUGGGGAGCAAACAGG
Molecule: ribosomal RNA, 253 nt
Filed under: uncultured bacterium
Lineage: Bacteria
Description: partial 16S ribosomal RNA
Rfam family: Bacterial small subunit ribosomal RNA
Source: RNAcentral